UAUCAAUAUCCCGCGGCUUUCGUCUGGCCUUUGGUUUGAUUAGGAUUGCCCAAAACCCGAGAUUUCAGCAGUAUUUAAUGAUAAAAACUUGAGUGUAUGACUUAAAAGCAUGUUAUUAAAGACAAGCAAGAAACGAGCUUCAAAAAAAUAAUUUAGGAAAAGAAAUUGACCGAAAUCGCACCGAGUUAUGGCCAUGCUAUUGGAAGCAAGACGAAGGUCGAAAUUCAGUUAUCGGUCUUGGAUAUUCUAAAGUCUAAACUACCUUUAAAACAACAAGGCAGGGACAAGGGAAGGGAAGAUUAUAUUUCUUCGUUUUUAUAUCAUUCAAAGUCGUAAGAACCUCAUCGAAUGUAGGAAUUUGUAUUGUCUACGACGCGCAGCGAAGGAAUCGUAUUGUAUUGCUGUAUUAGUAAUACAAUUUACUAUAAAUAUUGGGAAUCAGGCUCGGGUGAUCACUUAGUGUUGCGUGUAGAAUACUGAAUCCCUGACUUAAAUUUUUGCUUCUGCGGGAUGCUCAAAUACUCGGACUUUUGAGUAUUUGCAGUUGGCGCGUUAUUUAAAUUUCGUGGGAAAAUGAAGCAUACCGCUGCCCAGUACCGUAUUGAAGUCUCACAAACAUGAGGCCACACAACGGUUUGGUCAGUGGCGAAUAUAUAUUAUUUCAUGCUCCGAACAUAAACAAAACAUCAUGGAGACUAUAAUUUUGAAGACGAGCUUUAAUUUCGUCUUUAAAGUUUUGAAAUACCCCAAAUAUUCGAGAAGUUAUGGCUGUUUCAAUGUGCAAGAUAUUUGCUCCUUUAGCGGAGGAUUUG
This is a non-coding RNA of Paramuricea clavata, 812 nucleotides long. NCBI's taxonomy places the organism in Eukaryota, Metazoa, Cnidaria, Anthozoa, Malacalcyonacea, Plexauridae. The record is from the annotation of a GenBank genome assembly.